Molecule: transfer RNA, 72 nt
Filed under: Salmacis sphaeroides
Lineage: Eukaryota; Metazoa; Echinodermata; Echinoidea; Temnopleuroida; Temnopleuridae
Description: tRNA-Leu
Rfam family: tRNA
About the family: Transfer RNA (tRNA) molecules are approximately 80 nucleotides in length. Their secondary structure includes four short double-helical elements and three loops (D, anti-codon, and T loops).
Source: RNAcentral
GCUGUAGUAGCAAAGUAGUUAAUGCAAAAGACUUAGGAUCUUUCAACGUAGGUUCAACUCCUUCCUCCAGCU